Molecule: transfer RNA, 75 nt
Filed under: marine sediment metagenome
Description: tRNA-Arg
Rfam family: tRNA
About the family: Transfer RNA (tRNA) molecules are approximately 80 nucleotides in length. Their secondary structure includes four short double-helical elements and three loops (D, anti-codon, and T loops). Further hydrogen bonds mediate the characteristic L-shaped molecular structure. tRNAs have two regions of fundamental functional importance: the anti-codon, which is responsible for specific mRNA codon recognition, and the 3' end, to which the tRNAs corresponding amino acid is attached (by aminoacyl-tRNA synthetases). tRNAs cope with the degeneracy of the genetic code in two manners: having more than one tRNA (with a specific anti-codon) for a particular amino acid; and 'wobble' base-pairing, i.e. permitting non-standard base-pairing at the 3rd anti-codon position.
Source: RNAcentral
GGGCCUGUAGUCUAGUGGAUAGACGCUUGGCUUCUAACCAAGAUUACGUGGGUUCGAUUCCUACCAGGCCUACCA